RNAcentral lists this transfer RNA (90 nucleotides) under bacterium. RNAcentral describes it as "tRNA-Ser". It matches the Rfam family "tRNA". Rfam says of the family: Transfer RNA (tRNA) molecules are approximately 80 nucleotides in length. Their secondary structure includes four short double-helical elements and three loops (D, anti-codon, and T loops). RNAcentral also lists the same sequence under 1 other name. The record is from RNAcentral.
GGAGAGGUGCGAGAGUGGUUGAAUCGGGCGCUCUCGAAAAGCGCUGUGCCUUAACGGGUACCGAGGGUUCGAAUCCCUCCCUCUCCGCCA